Molecule: ribosomal RNA, 457 nt
Filed under: uncultured bacterium
Lineage: Bacteria
Description: bacterial SSU rRNA
Rfam family: Bacterial small subunit ribosomal RNA
Source: RNAcentral
AACGAACGCUGGCGGCAUGCCUAACACAUGCAAGUCGAACGGGAUCCUAGCUUGCUAGGUGAGAGUGGCGGACGGGUGAGUAACACGUGGGAAUCUGCCUUUUGGUUCGGGAUAACCGCGGGAAACUGCGGCUAAUACCGAAUGCCCUCGAGAGAGGAAAGAUUUAUCGCCAGAAGAGGAGCCCGCGUCCGAUUAGGUAGUUGGUGGGGUAAAAGGCCUACCAAGCCGACGAUCGGUAGCUGGUCUGAGAGGAUGAUCAGCCACACUGGGACUGAGAUACGGCCCAGACUCCUACGGGAGGCAGCAGUGGGGAAUAUUGGACAAUGGGGGCAACCCUGAUCCAGCAAUGCCGCGUGAGUGAUGAAGGCCUUAGGGUUGUAAAGCUCUUUGCCAGGGAAGAUGAUGACUGUACCUGGAGAAUAAGCCCGGCUAACUUCGUGCCAGCAGCCACGGUAAU